CACCAGACUCCUACGGGAGGCAGCAGUGGGGAAUAUUGCACAAUGGGGGAAACCCUGAUGCAGCGACGCCGCGUGAGUGAAGAAGUAUUUCGGUAUGUAAAGCUCUAUCAGCAGGGAAGAAAUAGCGACCUUUGGGUCGCCAGACGGUACCUGACUAAGAAGCCCCGGCUAACUACGCGCCAGCAGCCGCGGUAAUACGUAGGGGGCAAGCGUUAUCCGGAUUUACUGGGUGUAAAGGGAGCGUAGACGGCAGCACAAGUCAGCGGUAAAAUUGAGGGGCUCAACCCGGGCCGGCCGUUGAAACUGGGGAUCUUGAGUGGGCGAGAAGUAUGCGGAAUGCGUGGUGUAGCG
Molecule: ribosomal RNA, 351 nt
Filed under: uncultured bacterium
Lineage: Bacteria
Description: bacterial SSU rRNA
Rfam family: Bacterial small subunit ribosomal RNA
Source: RNAcentral